GGGGCCAUAGCUCAGUUGGGAGAGCGCCUGAAUGGCAUUCAGGAGGUCGUCGGUUCGAUCCCGUCUGGCUCCACAA
RNAcentral lists this transfer RNA (76 nucleotides) under Fidelibacterota bacterium. Its description in RNAcentral is "tRNA-Ala". It matches the Rfam family "tRNA". From Rfam's summary of the family: Transfer RNA (tRNA) molecules are approximately 80 nucleotides in length. Their secondary structure includes four short double-helical elements and three loops (D, anti-codon, and T loops). The record is from RNAcentral. Lineage: Bacteria; Pseudomonadati; Fidelibacterota.